This 397-nucleotide ribosomal RNA is filed under the name uncultured bacterium. RNAcentral describes it as "partial 16S ribosomal RNA". It matches the Rfam family "Bacterial small subunit ribosomal RNA", at positions 523 to 918 of the family's 1533-position model. The record is from RNAcentral.
AUACGUAGGUGACAAGCGUUAUCCGGAUUUACUGGGCGUAAAGGGCGUGUAGGCGGUCUUGCAAGUCAGAAGUGAAAUUCCUGAGCUCAACUCGGGCGCUGCUUCUGAAACUGCAGGACUUGAGUGCUGGAGGGGAUAGCGGAAUUCCUAGUGGAGCGGUAAAAUACGCAGAUAUUAGGAAGAACACCGGUGGCGAAGGCGGCUAUCUGGACAGUAACUGACGCUGGGGCGCGAAAGCGUGGGGAGCAAACAGGAUUAGAUCCCCUGGUAGUCCACGCCGUAAACGAUGAAUACUAGGUGUAGGGGGUAUCGACUCCCUCUGUGCCGCAGUUAACACAAUAAGUAUUCCGCCUGGGGAGUACGGCCGCAAGGUUGAAACUCAAAUGAAUUGACGGGU